UACGUUGGUGGCGAGCGUUGUCCGGAUUUACUGGGCGUAAAGAGCGCGCAGGCGGCUGGGCAAGUCCGAUGUGAAAGCUUCCGGCUUAACUGGAAAAUUGCAUCGGAAACUGCUCAGCUUGAAGGUGGGAGAGGGUAGCGGAAUUCCCGGUGUAGUGGUGAAAUGCGUAGAUAUCGGGAGGAAUACCGAUGGCGAAGGCAGGUCUCUGGGCUAUAACUGACGCUCAUGCACGAAAGCGUGGGGAGCAAACAGG
RNAcentral lists this ribosomal RNA (253 nucleotides) under uncultured bacterium. RNAcentral's name for it is "partial 16S ribosomal RNA". It matches the Rfam family "Bacterial small subunit ribosomal RNA", at positions 524 to 776 of the family's 1533-position model. The record is from RNAcentral.